This 324-nucleotide ribosomal RNA is filed under the name uncultured eukaryote. RNAcentral describes it as "partial 18S ribosomal RNA". It matches the Rfam family "Eukaryotic small subunit ribosomal RNA", at positions 1470 to 1796 of the family's 1831-position model. The record is from RNAcentral.
CCCUUAGAUGUUCUGGGCCGCACGCGUGCUACACUGAUGCACUCAACGAGUCUCCACCUUGACCGAGAGGUCCGGGAAACCUUCGAACUUGCAUCGUGAUGGGGAUAGAUUAUUGCAACUAUUAAUCUUCAACGAGGAAUUCCUAGUAAGCGCGAGUCAUCAGCUCGUGCUGAUUACGUCCCUGCCCUUUGUACACACCGCCCGUCGCUCCUACCGAUUGAGUGCUCAGGUGAAUAAUUCGGACUGCAGCAAUGUUCGGAUCCCGAACGUUGCAGCGGAAAGUUUAGUGAACCUUAUCACUUAGAGGAAGGAGAAGUCGUANCA